CAAGACAAACCCGCUAUUAGCUGUAAAUGUGAGGCACAGAGAGACCAAACACAUGCAAGAUGCCAUCCAUGACUCUUUUUCUAUGGCUUGGUUAUGUCACACAGAUCAUAGGCUGGAGGGAAGAUUUUCCCAUUUUCUUUCCCCUACCACUUUUUACACUGGCAACAUGGGUCAAUAUUGCUUUUCUUUGUAAGCCAAUUUACACUUUGAAAUGAAGUGAGCAUUCAGUAGGAAAAGAAGGUGAAAGUAUUCUGCUUUGUAGCAUCUGCCAGGACUAAUUUUUAAAUUUAUUUUGGCUGCUAUAACAAAGCUAUAGACUGGGUGGCUUAUAAACAACAUAAUUUUAUUUCUCACAGUUCUGGAGGCUUGGAAGUCCAAGAUCAAGAGGUGAACAGAUUUGGUGUCUGGUGGGGGCCUGCUUCCUGAUUCAUAGAUGGCACCAUCCAGCUGUGCCCUCACAUGGUGGAAGGAAUGAGGCUGCUCUCUGGAAUCUCUUUUAUAAGGCCGCCUCUUUCAGCCCAGACAAGUGUGAAGAAUGAAAUGAAAUGACAGCCAGAGCGGGAGCUCGAGCAAGGGGAUCACCAGCCCAGAGAUGGGAGAAACCUUUUAAGAAUUCAUGGACAGCCUC
Molecule: long non-coding RNA, 628 nt
Filed under: Homo sapiens (human)
Lineage: Eukaryota; Metazoa; Chordata; Mammalia; Primates; Hominidae
Description: HSALNT0166169
Source: RNAcentral